UAGUAGGGAAGCGAAAGCGGACCGACCCUUCGGGGAGCCUCUACAGGUGUUGCAUGGCUGUCGUCAGCUCGUGUCCGUGAGAUGUUCGGUUAAGUCCGCUUAACGAGCGCAACCCUCGCUGUGUGUUACAAGUGUCACACGGUACUGCCGAUAUUAAGUCGGAGGAAGGUGGGGAUGACGUCAAGUCAGCAUGACCUUUAUAUCCAGGGCUACACACACGCUACAAUGGCCAGUACAAUGGGUUGCCAAGCCGCGAGGCGGAGCCAAUCCUAAAAAGCUGGCCUCAGUUCAGAUUGCAGUCUGCAACUCGACUGCAUGAAGUUGGAGUUGCUAGUAACCGCAGGUCAGCAAUACUGCGGUGAAUACGUUCCGGGAUU
Molecule: ribosomal RNA, 377 nt
Filed under: uncultured Anaerolineaceae bacterium
Lineage: Bacteria; Bacillati; Chloroflexota; Anaerolineae; Anaerolineales; Anaerolineaceae
Description: bacterial SSU rRNA
Rfam family: Bacterial small subunit ribosomal RNA
Source: RNAcentral